UACGUAGGGUCCGAGCGUUAAUCGGAAUUACUGGGCGUAAAGCGUGCGCAGGCGGUUUUGUAAGCCAGAUGGGAAAGCCCCGGGCUUAACCUGGGAAUGGCAUUUGGGACUGCAAGGCUGGAGUACGGCAGAGGGAGGUGGAAUUCCAGGUGUAGCAGUGAAAUGCGUAGAUAUCUGGAGGAACACCGAUGGCGAAGGCAGCCUCCUGGGCUAGUACUGACGCUCAUGCACGAAAGCCAGGGGAGCGAACGGG
Molecule: ribosomal RNA, 253 nt
Filed under: uncultured bacterium
Lineage: Bacteria
Description: partial 16S ribosomal RNA
Rfam family: Bacterial small subunit ribosomal RNA
Source: RNAcentral